Molecule: small RNA, 388 nt
Filed under: Pan troglodytes (chimpanzee)
Lineage: Eukaryota; Metazoa; Chordata; Mammalia; Primates; Hominidae
Description: processed transcript
Source: RNAcentral
UUCUGUGGAGUACAAAUGUGAACAAGGAUAUGGGAUUGGUGCAGUGUGUUCCCCAUUGUGUGUAAUCCCCCCCAGUGACCCCGUGAUGCUACCUGAGAAUAUCACUGCUGACACUCUGGAGCACUGGAUGGAACCUGUCAAAGUCCAGAGCAUUGUGUGCACUGGCCGGCGUCAAUGGCACCCAGACCCCGUCUUAGUCCACUGCAUCCAGUCAUGUGAGACACAUCUUUCAGAUUCCUCAGAACCAUCCAGUCCUAAGCUCUUCUCCAUGGGGCCUAGAUGUUGUGGAGCCAGCUCCUAAAAGCAGAUUUCCCUCACCCCCAAAAUCUGGAUUAGGUAUUUAACUCCUGUUCACAUCUUGAUGCUACACUGAACUAUCACAUGAGCU